RNAcentral lists this long non-coding RNA (692 nucleotides) under Cricetulus griseus (Chinese hamster). RNAcentral's name for it is "lncRNA (ENSCGRG00015034225.1)". The record is from RNAcentral. Lineage: Eukaryota; Metazoa; Chordata; Mammalia; Rodentia; Cricetidae.
CAAGGGACGGUAAGACGAAACCAGGCAUGGUGAUGCCUGCUUGUAAUCCCAGCACUUGGGAGGGAUCAGGAGUUCAAGGCCAGCAUCAUCUGUAAAAAUGAGCUCAAGGUCUAGCCUGAGAGCUGGGAGCUGAACCUAGGGCCUCACACACUCAAGGAAAGUGGUUCACCACUGCGACAUCUAUCACCCUGUGACACUUAUGCUGCCAAUCUGAGCUUUCUGAACUCCAGCCUUCUUUCUUUCUACUUGGGAUAAGAGCUCAUGUCUCCCACGAUAGUCAAAUUCACUAUGUGGCAGAAGAUGACCUUGAACUCCUGAUCGUGCCUCCAUCUCUCGAGUGCUGGGAUCACAGAGCAAAAGCAUCCCUGAGAAUAGCUGAGUGGCUGACUGUCUGUGUUCCUACACUGAGUUCAAGACCAUUGAAACCUCUGGCGGGCUUUUAAGAGCAAGCACUACGCACGCAAAGACAGUGAAAUACUGCCGAGGGUCUAGAGGGGUGGGGUCCAUCAUGACUCUUGUGACUGAAUUAGAUCCUGUGGCUGGGAAAACACUUGGUUCCUUCUUAAGCUGCCUUGGAGAGAGGGCUUAGACUCAAGACCACAAGACUUGUUUCUUUCUCCAUGAACUGAGCUUUCCCCUUGGACAGGUGUCUGGAGACUGCCUGACCUGACCCUGCACAAAGAAGAGAAGGG